UGUCAUAUUUCACUCCAAAACACUAACUAAGCUUCUUUUUGCUUCUCAAAACUUUGAUGGUGACACCAAAGUCCGUAUGAGUCUUUGGCUUUCUAUCUU
RNAcentral lists this small RNA (99 nucleotides) under Arabidopsis thaliana (thale cress). RNAcentral's name for it is "ATSL089710". Lineage: Eukaryota; Viridiplantae; Streptophyta; Magnoliopsida; Brassicales; Brassicaceae. The record is from RNAcentral.